This 257-nucleotide long non-coding RNA is filed under the name Rattus norvegicus (Norway rat). RNAcentral describes it as "long non-coding RNA NONRATT008986". The record is from RNAcentral. Lineage: Eukaryota; Metazoa; Chordata; Mammalia; Rodentia; Muridae.
UCGUGAUAACAGGAUCUUAAAUACCAGUGUACUGAAUUCUGUUGGCACUUCACUGAGCGGUUUCACAGAGCUCUUCAGAUACCUUCUCCUCCCCAUGUCCUGUGUGUACAGGUUCCUGCCAUCUCAUUAGCAUACGAAGCGGCUGAGAGCGACAUCAUGAAGAGGCAGCCACGGAACUCCCAGACGGACAAGCUGGUGAACGAGAGGCUUAUCAGCAUGGCUUACGGACAGAUCGGCAUGAUCCAGGCUCUGGGCGG